RNAcentral lists this ribosomal RNA (405 nucleotides) under uncultured bacterium. Its description in RNAcentral is "bacterial SSU rRNA". It matches the Rfam family "Bacterial small subunit ribosomal RNA", at positions 355 to 775 of the family's 1533-position model. The record is from RNAcentral.
UGGGGAAUAUUGGGCAAUGGGGGCAACCCUGACCCAGCGACGCCGCGUGAGGGAAGACGGCCUUCGGGUUGUAAACCUCUUUUGUACGGGAAGAAGGACGUGACGGUACCGUGCGAAUAAGUCCCGGCUAACUACGUGCCAGCAGCCGCGGUAAUACGUAGGGGACGAGCGUUGUCCGGAAUUACUGGGCGUAAAGGGCGCGCAGGCUGUAGAUCAAGUCAGCUGUGAAAUGUCUGGGCUUAACCCGGGCAUGCGGUUGAAACUGAUGUACUGGAGUGCCGUAGAGGCAAGUGGAAUUCCCAGUGUAGCGGUGAAAUGCGUAGAUAUUGGGAAGAACACCGGUGGCGAAGGCGACUUGCUGGGCAGCAACUGAUGCUGAGGCGCGAAAGCCAGGGGAGCAAACGG